RNAcentral lists this ribosomal RNA (460 nucleotides) under uncultured bacterium. Its description in RNAcentral is "partial 16S ribosomal RNA". It matches the Rfam family "Bacterial small subunit ribosomal RNA", at positions 338 to 795 of the family's 1533-position model. The record is from RNAcentral.
CCUACGGGGGGCAGCAGUGAGGAAUAUUGGUCAAUGGGCGCGAGCCUGAACCAGCCAAGUAGCGUGAAGGAUGACUGCCCUACGGGUUGUAAACUUCUUUUAUAAAGGAAUAAAGUGAGGCACGUGUGCCUUUUUGUAUGUACUUUAUGAAUAAGGAUCGGCUAACUCCGUGCCAGCAGCCGCGGUAAUACGGAGGAUCCGAGCGUUAUCCGGAUUUAUUGGGUUUAAAGGGAGCGUAGAUGGGUUGUUAAGUCAGUUGUGAAAGUUUGCGGCUCAACCGUAAAAUUGCAAUUGAUACUGGCUGUCUUGAGUACAGUUGAGGUAGGCGGAAUGCGUGGUGUAGCGGUGAAAUGCAUAGAUAUCACGAAGAACUCCGAUUGCGAAGGCAGCUUACUAAACUGCCACUGACAUUGAUGCUCGAAAGUGUGGGUAUCAAACAGGAUUAGAUACCCCGGUAGUC